RNAcentral lists this unclassified non-coding RNA (172 nucleotides) under soil metagenome. RNAcentral describes it as "partial internal transcribed spacer 1". The record is from RNAcentral.
UUGUAUAUCAUCAUCAAUUCUGAUGAAUUCAACUCUGUGCACUAUAACCAUUGACUGUCGAUUUGGUUAGAAGGCGGCGUGGGCAUCUGUUUACGUGCGCGCUACCGGUCGACUACUCUGUUUACGUACCUGAUAAAACUUUUAUACUUAUAUUAAAAUUGUAAUUAAAAUA